UGGAUGAUCUGAGAUCAGGAGUUCGAGAC
Molecule: non-coding RNA, 29 nt
Filed under: Homo sapiens (human)
Lineage: Eukaryota; Metazoa; Chordata; Mammalia; Primates; Hominidae
Source: RNAcentral